UUAAAAAAAAAAAAAAAAAAGGUUAAUAUGUAUCAUGCAAGGUUCCAUUCUAUGUUAUAAUAUGGUAAUCAAGUGUUUCUUAUGAUUUCAAUUAUAUAAUAUACAUGUUUAUCGGGCAGUUUGUUAGUAUCUGAUGCCUUGCCUUUACCAAAUUCUCUCACUUUUUGUCAUAUAAGUUCUUUGCAAAUCAUAUUCAAGUAAGUGAUAAUAGUAUUGAAACUUUUUUGAGUCUAUCUAUUACAAAUUGAAAGAAAGUAUUUCAUGGUGCAUCCUGAGAGAAAUUCGUGAAACAAGUUGUCAAGUUUUAUUUGUUUGUUUGUCAUCUUUUAUUCCACACCAUAUGCAUAUCACUUUCAUAGUCACAACACUAGAAAUUCAUUAAUUUAUGGAAGUGAAAGUGAAUUUCUACUUACACUUGAUGUUCCGUCCGCAAGCGGCUAGUCUGCUUC
RNAcentral lists this unclassified non-coding RNA (449 nucleotides) under Hevea brasiliensis (rubber tree). Lineage: Eukaryota; Viridiplantae; Streptophyta; Magnoliopsida; Malpighiales; Euphorbiaceae. The record is from RNAcentral.